GACGUAGGGUCCAAGCGUUGUCCGGAUUUACUGGGCGUAAAGAGCGCGCAGGCGGUCGUAUAAGUCGAAUGUGAAAGCCCCCGGCUCAACUGGGGAGGGUCACGCGAUACUGAUCGACUCGAAGGCAGGAGAGGGUAGUGGAAUUCCCGGUGUAGUGGUGAAAUGCGUAGAUAUCGGGAGGAACACCAGUGGCGAAGGCGACUACCUGGCCUGUUCUUGACGCUGAGGCGCGAAAGCUAGGGGAGCAAACGGG
Molecule: ribosomal RNA, 253 nt
Filed under: uncultured bacterium
Lineage: Bacteria
Description: partial 16S ribosomal RNA
Rfam family: Bacterial small subunit ribosomal RNA
Source: RNAcentral